Molecule: ribosomal RNA, 465 nt
Filed under: uncultured bacterium
Lineage: Bacteria
Description: partial 16S ribosomal RNA
Rfam family: Bacterial small subunit ribosomal RNA
Source: RNAcentral
CCUACGGGGGGCAGCAGUGGGGAAUAUUGCGCAAUGGGCGAAAGCCUGACGCAGCGACGCCGCGUGAGGGAUGAAGGUCUUCGGAUCGUAAACCUCUGUCAGCAGGGAAGAACGGUCACUGUGCUAAUCAGCAGUGAAUUGACGGUACCUGCAAAGGAAGCACCGGCUAACUCCGUGCCAGCAGCCGCGGUAAUACGGAGGGUGCGAGCGUUAAUCGGAAUUACUGGGCGUAAAGCGCUCGUAGGCGGUAUGUCAAGUCAAGGGUGAAAUCCCCGGGCUCAACGUGGGAACUGCCUUUGAAACUGGCAGACUGGAGUGUGGGAGAGGAUGGUGGAAUUCCAGGUGUAGGAGUGAAAUCCGUAGAUAUCUGGAGGAACAUCAGUGGCGAAGGCGACUAUCUGGCACAUAACUGACGCUGAGGAGCGAAAGCGUGGGUAGCAAACAGGAUUAGAUACCCGGGUAGUC